Molecule: small nuclear RNA, 100 nt
Organism: Myotis lucifugus (little brown bat)
Lineage: Eukaryota; Metazoa; Chordata; Mammalia; Chiroptera; Vespertilionidae
Source: Ensembl
GUGCUCGCUUCAGCAGCACAUAUACUAAAAUUGGAACAAUACAGAGAUUACAUGGCCCCUGCACAAGGACAUGCAAAUUCGUGAAGUGUCCCAUAUUUUU